Molecule: long non-coding RNA, 336 nt
Filed under: Mytilus galloprovincialis (Mediterranean mussel)
Lineage: Eukaryota; Metazoa; Mollusca; Bivalvia; Mytilida; Mytilidae
Source: RNAcentral
AAUCUGAAACUAGAGCUCAAAAUUUGAAAAAAAAAUGGUAAAAAACAGGAGGGUCGGCCUAUUCCGGGGCUUCUAGAGAAAAAUAAUGAAGGGUGUCACGGGGUAUGACUAUAUAGGUCUUGUAGAAAAGAAACAGGCGCUUCUUUUUGCGCAAGGUAUCAAAGGGCGCUAUGUUCAAAAAUCUGAAACUAGAGCUCAAAAUUUGAAAAAAAAAUGGUAAAAAACAGGGGGUCGGCCUAUUCCGGGGCUUCUAGAGAAAAUAAAUAGGGGUGUCACGGGGUAUGACUAUAUAGGUCUUGUAGAAGAGAAACAGGCGCUUCUUUUGCGCAAGGUAUC